CAACAGUUAACGACAAUAAAUGAUAUCGAAAAAUUACGUCUCACGUUUGACUUGGUCCCGGAAAUAAUGUCUGCUCCACAAAUACCACCCUAUUCCCUAUCUAGUGCACUACUUUCAACCAGGGCCCAUAGGGAAUAAGGUGCCAUUGGGGAUACAGACAAUGAUAUUUGGAGGAAGCUUCUUUUUUUUUGUUGGAAGGGAAAUCCUUCACUUUGACAAAGAGGACCAAAAGUCAAGGGUCGCGACCUUACGUGACCUUUAGGAUCCAUAACACUGACCAGGAAGUGUUUAAUUCUCACCCUUCACACUCGACGGCAGCCCCCUCUGAGUAGGACGAAGUUACGCCCCUUAGACACUGAUCUAAGAUCAGUUUUGUGUUUGUCCUCUCCCAACAGUGAAGGUUCGGGUUUAAGGAUGGGAAACUGACCCUAGAUCUCCCUUUAAGGGAUACUCUGACCUGGAGCCGGUCUUUCUCACAACACUACAGAACCACAGAGGACAGCCUACAUUCUCAAAAUAUCAAAUAAAAACAUUUAUCAAAACAAUUUCAUGGGCAUUUUACCAACCGUAGCUGUGCUUUGGAGAGAGGUCUUUCAACUCACUUAGAUACACAAAAACAAUGUGUAUAUUUGACAGAAUAUAAUCAACAACAUUUGUGUGGUUGCUAUGGCGAGGAAGUGAACUAAACACGGGGUUAGUUAAGACUAGUAGAAGGCUUUUUGGCUGGUUUGUUGACAUGACAGAAUCCUCAUGUUCUCAUUACACUGACGUUUAGAGAAGCCUGGGGACAAACCUACCUCUUUCUCCAUCCAACAUCUCACCGUUGGGGGGGAAAGGGGGGAAACACUGGUAAUAGAGUAAUUGUACUAGCCACCACCACAAGCUCAUUUUUAAACCUCUCCAUCUCGUUAGGGUUGGAGGCCUGUAUGUAUUUCUCUUCACAGUCAAACAGUUCAUGGUUGCAACACAUGGAAUCAACUAAACAGAGCUCAGAUUGCCUGAUUCAUCAACAGCUUGUUGUAUGUAGGCCUACUAGACUACAGCAACAGAGAAGAGAACAGAGAUAGUAUGAAUUGCGUUGAAGGUAAAGUUAACUGUCAAAAUAACAUUUCAUUUCAGACCAAUUCGGGAAGAAAUUAGAAUUUAAAACAAAUCGAUAAACACAUGUACAAAAACAAAAGGAGAAAAACCCCAUGUCCGAGGGGAUCCAAGAUGGCCGACAACGGUUGUUAGUUUCUAUUUCAAAUGAAGUCACUUGUGGUGCUUGAAUACAUUCAAUGCCUAGCUAAUCCUUCUGCUAUACGUGUUUUUAAUCCAUUUAUAUAUAUUUGAUAAUAACACAGACAGGAUGAUGUUAUGUUGUUGCCACUACUCCCUUAACUGCCUGACUGACUGACUAACUGACUGACUGACAAUAAUCUACUUCUCCUUUCAGCCGUCGGGGAGUGGUGUGUGUGUGCUGUGUGUGUGGCAUGUGUGCAACAGCUACCAGUGAACAGGAAAUGAAGAGAAGCUCGGCUCAGAAAGAGAGAGCAGGCCGGUUGCUUAGCAACAGGACUGUGGGGCGACCACACAGCGCCUGCGCUAAAUACCGCCACAAAAGAAGACCACAAUCUGUUUUGUUUUGAUGUUUUCAGUUACACACAGCCAGACGAACAAACCAACGAACGCAGACAAAAACACGUCUCUAGAGAGGAGAGAGGGGAGGGAGGGAGAAAGUGGGGAGGGAGGGAGAGAGAAAGAGUGGGGAGAGAUGGAGAGAGGGAGAGGGAAAGAGUGGGAAGGGAGAGAGGGGAGGGAGGGAGGGAGGGAAGGGAGAGUGAGAAAGAGACAGGGGGUAGGGAGGGAAAGAGUGGGAAGGGAGGGAGAGCGAGGGGACGGAAGGAAGGGAGAGUGAGUAAGAGAGAGGGGGGCAGGGAAGUGGGAAGGGAGGGAAAGAGUGGGAAGGGAGGGAGAGAGGGAGGGAAAGAGUGGGAAGGGAGGGAGAGCGAGCGAGGGGACGUAGGGAAGGGAGAGUGAGAAAGAGAGAGGUUGGGCAGGGAGUGAGAGAGGGAGGGAAAGAGUGGGAAGGGAGGGAGAGAGGGAGGGAAAGAGUGGGAAGGGAGGGAGAGAGGGGAGGGUGAAUAGAAAUGUGAAACAGGGAAGAAAUGCGAGUAGAGAGAGAGUGAUCUCAACCACUUCUCAGAUAGACAGAGGUGACAGCUCUCUUCUGAGCUCUGACGGCUGUCACAGAAGUGGGUUGACGUGACGGCGUGUGUGUGUAUUUAUCUCCUUGUCUGCCUGUCUGUCUGCUUGUCUGUCUGUCUGUCUCUCGUCUGUCUUUCAAAGGGACCUGCAUGUGUAGAAAUGCUACGAUCACACGCCAUCACACACAGCAUGAAUAUAACGUGGAGGGGAUAGAUGUCAAACCUGUCAGACACAAUCCAAUAACCCAGGUAUCGAAGAAAAACUAAUACUGGAAAAAUACAUAUAGAUUUCCUACCCCUAUAUUGAAAAACAAAUAUUAAAACGAUUCUCCCCUGUUUGAGAGCUUGUAGUCAGUCUCUUGUCUUGUAGUCAGUCUCCUGUCUUGUAGUCAGUCUCCUGUCUUGUAGUCAGUCUCCUGUCUUUCUCCUGUCUUGUAGUCAGUCUCCUGUCUCUCCUGUCUUGUAGUCAGUCUCCUGUCUCUCCUGUCUUGUAGUCAGUCUCCUGUCUCUCCUGUCUUGUAGUCAGUCUCCUGUCUCUCUCCCGUCUUGUAGUCAGUCUCCCGUCUUGUAGUCAGUCUCCUGUCUCUCUCCUGUCUUGUAGUCAGUCUCCUGUCUCUCUCCUGUCUUGUAGUCAGUCUCCCGUCUCUCCUGUCUUGUAGUCAGUCUCCUGUCUCUCCUGUCUUGUAGUCAGUCUCCUGUCUCUCCUGUCUUGUAGUCAGUCUCCUGUCUCUCUCCUGUCUUGUAGUCAGUCUCCCGUCUCUCCUGUCUUGUAGUCAGUCUCCUGUCUUGUAGUCAGUCUCCUGUCUCUCCUGUCUUGUAGUCAGUCUCCCGUCUUGUAGUCAGUCUCCCGUCUUGUAGUCAGUCUCCCGUCUUGUAGUCAGUCUCCCGUCUUGUAGUCAGUCUCCUGUCUCUCUCCUGUCUUGUAGUCAGUCUCCUGUCUCUCUCCUGUCUUGUAGUCAGUCUCCUGUCUCUCCUGUCUUGUAGUCAGUCUCCUGUCUUGUAGUCAGUUUCCUGUCUCUCUCCUGUCCUGUAGUCAGUCUCCUGUCUCUCUCCUGUCUUGUAGUCAGUCUCCUGUCUCUCUCCUGUCUUGUAGUCAGUCUCCUGUCUUGUAGUCAGUCUCCUGUCUUGUAGUCAGUCUCCUGUCUCUCCUGUCUUGUAGUCAGUCUCCUGUCUCUCCUGUCUUGUAGUCAGUCUCCUGUCUUGUAGUCAGUCUCCUGUCUUGUAGUCAGUCUCCUGUCUUGUAGUCAGUCUCCUGUCUCUCUCCUGUCUUGUAGUCAGUCUCCCGUCUCUCUCCUGUCUUGUAGUCAGUCUCCUGUCUCUCUCCUGUCUUGUAGUCAGUCUCCCGUCUCUCCUGUCUUGUAGUCAGUCUCCUGUCUCUCUCCUGUCUUGUAGUCAGUCUCCUGUCUCUCCUGUCUUGUAGUCAGUCUCCUGUCUCUCUCCUGUCUUGUAGUCAGUCUCCCGUCUCUCCUGUCUUGUAGUCAGUCUCCUGUCUUGUAGUCAGUCUCCUGUCUUGUAGUCAGUCUCCUGUCUCUCUCCUGUCUUGUAGUCAGUCUCCCGUCUCUCCUGUCUUGUAGUCAGUCUCCCGUCUCUCCUGUCUUGUAGUCAGUCUCCUGUCUUGUAGUCAGUCUCCUGUCUUGUAGUCAGUCUCCUGUCUCUCCUGUCUUGUAGUCAGUCUCCCGUCUCUCCUGUCUUGUAGUCAGUCUCCUGUCUUGUAGUCAGUCUCCUGUCUUGUAGUCAGUCUCCCGUCUCUCCUGUCUUGUAGUCAGUCUCCUGUCUCUCCUGUCUUGUAGUCAGUCUCCUGUCUCUCCUGUCUUGUAGUCAGUCUCCUGUCUCUCCUGUCUUGUAGUCAGUCUCCCGUCUCUCCUGUCUUGUAGUCAGUCUCCUGUCUCUCCUGUCUUGUAGUCAGUCUCCUGUCUCUCCUGUCUUGUAGUCAGUCUCCUGUCUCUCCUGUCUUGUAGUCAGUCUCCUGUCUCUCCUGUCUUGUAGUCAGUCUCCUGUCUCUCCUGUCUUAACCUAUCGGCCCAGUUGACACACUGCUAAAGGGUUGGGUUUAAAACAUGGCCCAAAAGGACAACAAAACCAAAUUCACUUCCCUUUCUUGAAUGAUAUUUCACAACCACCAGACCACGUUUACCAUACACACACUCACACACACACACACACACACACACACACACACACACACACACACACACA
This 4382-nucleotide long non-coding RNA is filed under the name Salmo salar (Atlantic salmon). Its description in RNAcentral is "lncRNA (ENSSSAG00000087725.1)". Lineage: Eukaryota; Metazoa; Chordata; Actinopteri; Salmoniformes; Salmonidae. The record is from RNAcentral.